This 164-nucleotide ribosomal RNA is filed under the name uncultured bacterium. RNAcentral describes it as "partial 16S ribosomal RNA". It matches the Rfam family "Bacterial small subunit ribosomal RNA", at positions 354 to 510 of the family's 1533-position model. The record is from RNAcentral.
GUAGGGAAUCUUCCACAAUGGACGAAAGUCUGAUGGAGCAACGCCGCGUGAGUGAAGAAGGGUUUCGGCUCGUAAAACACUGUUGUAAGAGAAGAAUGACAUUGAGAGUAACUGUUCAAUGUGUGACGGUAUCUUACCAGAAAGGAACGGCUAAAUACGUGCAG